This is a long non-coding RNA of Marmota monax (woodchuck), 3568 nucleotides long. RefSeq lists it as uncharacterized. The record is from RefSeq and is a predicted model, not a curated record. Lineage: Eukaryota; Metazoa; Chordata; Mammalia; Rodentia; Sciuridae. The transcript has 2 exons.
UUCACCGAAGCUCCGGCUGAGGUUUUGCUGUGCACCCGCAGGCGCCUGUGUGAGAAUAAACGCCUCCUGCUUUUUGCAGCCAGUGUCUCGUGUGGUUCAUUCCGGGUUUGGGAUCUGUGGAUAUUUCAUUGUGGAGGCCCCACCGAGAUCCAAGAUCCCGGUUCCGGUUCUGAUCCCGGUCCCUAUCCGGAGGACACCCGACAUCACUGGGAGGUAUACAAGUCUGUAAGGUAAAAGCUUCAAAAGAACAUUAUAUCAAGCUGGUGUUCUAAAGUUGUAUGGUAAUUUUAGGCUUAAAAAAAAAAUGUUGAAAAUUCGAUUAUAUCAUUUGUGUUCUAUAACUGAACUUGUUAUCAAUAAGAUAUGUACAGUUCCAUGUUACUUUCUACUCUAAGAUACAAUUUAUGUAUUUUUAAGUUAAUAAGAGCCUAAUCUGUGUAAAGGUUUAAUUGCAAAACACAAAAGUACAUUACUACUUUUCUACAAAAAGUUAAAAGCUUUCAGCCUUUAAUUCAUAUUUUAGGUGUGAUAUUAUGUUGUGUUAGCUAAUGUUCAUGUAAACUUGAACAACAAUUUAUGUAAACUUUGUAAAAUGAUCAGCUUCAGAACUAUAGUACUUGAGAUUUAUAAAGAGCCCUGCCUUACUUGAGAUAAGGCUCUGUCCCAUCUCACUACAUGUAAAAAUGGCUAUAAAAAAAGGUAAGCCAGAUUUCAGUACAGUUAAAGUUGUGUCCAAAAGUAGGUUUUUGCCAAGAUUACUAGGAUCUCAAACAGGAAAUUAUGAUGUAUAACCCUGCCAGAAUUCAAGGUAGCUAUUAUAUAAGCUAAAUAUGUUUUUACCCUAGUUAGUUUUGUUUUAUAGUUUGCUUAUAGAUGGUUUAAGGAUUGCCUAUUAAUAUUCUAAAGAGGUAUUGCUUUAAGAACACAACCUGGGUCAACAUAAGAUAAAGAGUUAUCACCUACAGGAUAGAGAGAUAGACAUUAAAGCCCAGUGCUCUUAAUAUAAGGCUGUUAACUUAUUUGCUGGAUGUUUAAGAUCAAGUUUUUAAAAUUAGUUAAAUUAAAAGGGCCAAGAAAACCAAUAUUUGGCUCUUGCCCUCUGAGUCAGUCUGAAUCAGGGAAUAGGGGACUUCUCCAAAGGGCUCAGCAACUCUAGGCCACAUAACCUCCUGAGCAGGGAGAUUAAUGAGACCAGUGGAGGACAGAAAGCCAAAUGGUGCAUUUGCUGUAAAGAGGAGGGUCAUUAAAAAAGGGAGACAUCCCUGAUGCUUCUGAGGGAAGCCAUAUGGUCAAACAAGGCCUGGACCCAUCCUAGCGCAAAUGACACUAGCAGAACUGAAAAGCUGCUAUGAAGUUCCCGAGGACUCCCAGGAUAACUCAGCUGACUGUAAACAAUAGGUAGAAACAAAAGUCAGUUUGACUUGCUUCAUCUUAAACACUUAGCAAAGACAGUCAAAGCCAAAGCACAGCUGUUCCUGGACAUCUUAAAUGAUAAUAAUAAUUAAAUGUAACUUCCAUAAAUAAAUAGACUGGAGGCUACAAGAGAGAUUCUUAGACAGAAAUGCCUGAUAACUGUCAAAGGAACUACUAGAAUAGUUUUAGUCUAAGGCUUUUAUUUCUAGACAACACAGGUAGAUUUGAUGUUUGCUAAUAUGGUUAUCCAGCCCUAAGUAGCAGAAUUAAAGAUUUCUCUAUUAGACACAGAGGAAAAACAAAAGGCUCUUUUGGAAGCUCGCAAAAAUGUGCCAGGGGACGACGGGCGCCCCACCCAACUCACAAAUUUGAUUAAUGAAGCUUUUCCUUUAACCCGGCCAAACUGGGACUAUGCGACUGAAGCAGGUGAGAACCACCUACAUCUCUAUCGCCAGUUACUCAUAGCGGGUCUCCAUGGAGCAGGGGGGUCUCCAUGGAACAGGGCGACGGCCCACCAAUUUGGCUCAGGUAAGACAGACUAUCCAGGGGUCAGAGGAAACUCCGACAGCCUUCUUAGAGAAAUUAAAAGAGGCUUAUCGGAGGUUUACUCCCUUUGAUCCUGAUAAUGAGGACCAAAAAGGAAACAUUUAAUGGGCCUGCCUUCGUCUCCCAGGUAAGUCAGGCGGUAGCCAAUACAUUGAAAAUUAAUUAAAAAUUACAUUAUGGUUAUAGACCCCAAAGUUCAGGACAGGUAAAAAAGAUAAAUAGAACCAUUAAGGAGACUUUAACUAAAUUGACACUUGAAACUGGCACUAGAGACUGGGUACAACUCCUACCUUUAGCCUUGUAUGGGGCCCAAAACACCCCAGGCCCACAUGGACUAACCCCAUUUAAAAUCCUGUACGGUGCCCCACCUCCCGCUAUUAACUUUUAUAAAACUAAAACCUAUGCCUCCCUCACCCCAUCUAUGCAGACUCAUUUGCAUGCUUUGCAAUUGGUCCAGAACGAGGUCUGGAAGCCUCUAGCCGCAGCAUACAAAGAGGAACUUAAAACCCCCUUGCUGCCACAUCCCUUCAAGGUCGGAGAUACCGUCUGGGUACACAGGCACCAGAGCAGGAACCUCGAACCGCGGUGGAAAGGACCCUACACUAUCCUGCUGACCACUCCUACUGCACUCAAAGUGGACGGCAUCGCUGCUUAGAUCCAUGCUUCCCACGUGAAGACUGCACAUCCACAGGAGUCCGCAGACACCUCUCCGGAUCCAGAAUGGAAGUUGCAACAUACCCAAAAUCCGCUAAAGAUAAGACUCACUCGCUGUUAAUUUUUCUUGCUUUGUGCUGUGUCUUCCCCAUAUCAGUUAACCCCAACCAAUCUGUGAGCCAGACAUGACAAGUAUUAUCGGGGACAAAAAAUAUAAUUUAAAAAAAAAAAAAAACAAAACAGGAUCCCCCACUUUCUGCCGACUCUUGCAGGAGCCUGAAAUGGUACGGGGCAGGGCCAUGUACCGCAUUUGCCUGCAACCCCUUAAACAUUACCUUUACUCAGGCAGGCAAAGCAUCAAAAGAUUGGAUAAAAAAAAAAAAACAAUGGGGCCUGAGAAUAUAUCAUAAAACUGCCUAUGACCCUGGGGUCCUAUUCAAAAUUAGAUUAAUAGUAAAUACCAACCCCCAACCAGUAUGCUGAGCCGUCAGCUGAAAUAAUGCUGGAAUCCGAGCAGAUGGGUCAAUGGAUAUAAGAUUAUAUCCAUGAUAUAAAAAAAGGGGGGAAUGAAGGACCCCAAGGCCCCAGGCCCAACAUUAGGAAAACUAACCCCUGUGCCCUGAAGCUGCAAGAUGUUCCAUAUAGAUAACCCCGGAAGGGCCAAACUUGAGCAAACAGGGUAAAAACAGGAACUAAAAGGACAGGAUGCAAUUUUAUGGUUUUUCUGAGAACUAAAGUGGGAAAACAAGUUUACCCCCCUAGGUGACUCAACUGCUGAAUUCAGAGGGACCAAUAGGAAGGCUGUUGCUGUGCUAAGCUAAGACCUAACCCACCUGUUCCCUAUAAAAGAUCUAUACCCCAAAGCCCGGUGUGCCAGUUCACCGAAGCUCCGGCUGAGGUUUUGCUGUGCACCCGCAGGCGCCUGUGUGAGAAUAAACGCCUCCUGCUUUUUGCA